Molecule: microRNA precursor, 103 nt
Filed under: Marmota monax (woodchuck)
Lineage: Eukaryota; Metazoa; Chordata; Mammalia; Rodentia; Sciuridae
Source: RNAcentral
AGAGGGAUAGUUGGGUCAAAUGGUGGUUCCAUUCCCAGAUUUCCAAGGAAUCUCCAUACUGCUUUCCAUAUUGGCUGCACCAAUUUGCAGACCCACCAGCAAU